Molecule: long non-coding RNA, 1630 nt
Organism: Felis catus (domestic cat)
Lineage: Eukaryota; Metazoa; Chordata; Mammalia; Carnivora; Felidae
Exons: 2
Source: RefSeq, a predicted model, not a curated record
CCUGAAUAUGAUGCUCAAGUGACACAGGCAUUGACUACAAGUUGGACAAAAUGGCCUUUUAGUUUAUUCCAGGCCUGAGACUCUGAGUUUAUAAUUCUCCGGCUGGGGGGAAGUAAACUUUACUCACCAAUGCCUGUGCUGAUCAGAUAACCUCAAAGCCCAGACACACUGCAUAAUUCUCCGACAGCAAUAACUCAGCUGGCAGUUCCCAGGCAGAGAUGUGGGAGAAAGUCCAAUAUCCGGGAAGCGCUAGGAUCUACAACUUCCUGUGGUCUGCCUAGUGAAAUUUGACCAGAUAAGAACAGUUAAUAAGAAGCUCUCGAGAUAGAAAAGCUCCUUUUAUUUCUGAAUGCGGGUAUAUUGAUGUUAAAUACCUGAAUGCAUGAAGUUAAUUUGAAUAAUCUUCUAUUGUUGCAAGAAAUAUGGAAAAGUAUUCAGGAAAACUAGAAAAAUUCUUCAUACUUGUGGCAUGAACCGAAAGAAGUCUUUCACUAUUUUGACAAAUGAUGACUCUACUGUUUUGUGUGAGGGUAGAAGCUUUUAAGGACUGGACCCCAAGGCACCCCAUUGUGGUGCCUAGGAAAAGAUCAAACCUCAUAUUCUGGACCUUCCUUCUAUAACACUUUGCAAGUCAUGCCAGAUUCCCAUCAAGGCUGAACAAUUUGCCUUGAGGCCCCCAAAUAUUUCCAAAUGUAGUUAAUGGCUUCAAAAAGAAAACAAGCAUUGCAAUGAAAGCACUUAAUGUCUAUCAAUUCAAUUGCCAAGAAGUUCUUCUCUUUUGAAUACUCAAAGGACAGGAUCCCUGGGCAAUGACUUAUUGUUUCCCUUGCCUGCACUGCAAUGAUUACAGAGACUGUCCAGGAGUUUGAAACACAUCAGAGUUCUGCACCUGAAGAGAGAAGGGAAGCUGGAAGACACAGUGGAUUGGCUUUUCAUACAUCUGGGAUUGGACUGAAGUAGGAGUGGAUUGAUUGGACUGAAGUGCUAAGAGUAUGGAAUUGUUCAUUUUUGUUGUUAGAGUGUCAGUUGCCUAGAAUAAAGGUAUUUGUUGACACAGUGAGGUCUAGGUCUUAAGGCACAUACAUGAACUUGACACAAAACUUUGGGGAAUCCAUUUGCCUCUGCCUCUGUGAGACUUAAGUUUUCUUCUCUUUUUCUUUUUUGAAAAUCAGUGGAAUUUACAUAUAGUGAAAUACACAUAUCUUAAGCAUGAAACUGAUGAAUUAUGACAGAUGUGUACACCUAUGUAACCACAAGCCCAAUAAAGGUAUGGAAUAUUUCUACAGUCUCCCCAGAAUCUCUUGCAUUCCCUUCUAGUCAGUCUCUACUUCAGUUGGCAACCACUGUUCUGUUUUCCAUUUCCCCAGAUUAGCUUUGCCAGUUCUUAAACUUCAUAAAAGCAUACAAUACGCAUUUUUUUGCAUCUAGCUUCUUGUACUUGACAUAACAUGUUUGAGAUUUAUCCAUGUUGUUGCAUGUAUUAGUUGUUUGUUAUUUCUUAUUACUGAGUAACAGUCCAUGGUGUGAAUAUACCACAGUUGGUUUACCUAUUCUUCUAUUGAUAGAAUUUGGGUUGUUUCUGAUUUGGAGCUAUGUUGAAUAAUGCUGCUAUAAACAUUUUUGAACAAGU